CAACCCUCAAGCCCCCGGGCUUGGUGUUGGGGCUCGGCCCGUCCCUAGCGGCGCGCCGUCCCCGAAAUCUAGUGGCGGUCUCGCUGAAGCCUCCUCUGCGUAGUAGCUAACACCUCGCAACGGGAACUCAGCGCGGCCACGCCGUUAAACCCCCCACUUCUGAA
This 164-nucleotide unclassified non-coding RNA is filed under the name uncultured Ascomycota. RNAcentral's name for it is "sequence contains ITS2". Lineage: Eukaryota; Fungi; Ascomycota. The record is from RNAcentral.